Molecule: ribosomal RNA, 482 nt
Filed under: uncultured bacterium
Lineage: Bacteria
Description: partial 16S ribosomal RNA
Rfam family: Bacterial small subunit ribosomal RNA
Source: RNAcentral
GACGAACGCUGGCGGCAUGCUUAACACAUGCAAGUCGAACGAUGAAGAAGAGCUUGCUCUUCGGAUUAGUGGCGAACGGGUGAGUAACACGUGACUAACCUGCCCCUUUCUCUGGGAUAACGCUCCGAAAGGAGUGCUAAUACCGGAUACUCACAUCGAGGCACAUGCCUUGAUGUGGAAAGUUUUUCGGAAAGGGAUGGAGUCGCGGCCUAUCAGCUUGUUGGUGAGGUAACGGCUCACCAAGGCGACGACGGGUAGCCGGCCGGGGAGGGCGACCGGCCACACUGGGACUGAGACACGGCCCAGACUGCUACGGGAGGCAGCAGUGGGGAAUAGUGCACAAUGGGCGAAAGGCUGGUGCAGCGACGCCGCGUGAGGGAUGAAGGUCUUCGGAUUGUAAACCUCUUUCAGUAGGGACGAAGCGAAAGUGACGGUACCUAAAGAAGAAGCACCGGCUAACUACGUGCCAGCAGCCGCGGUAA